Molecule: ribosomal RNA, 373 nt
Filed under: uncultured bacterium
Lineage: Bacteria
Description: partial 16S ribosomal RNA
Rfam family: Bacterial small subunit ribosomal RNA
Source: RNAcentral
UGGGGAAUUUUGGACGAAUUGGGCGAAAGCCUGAAUCCAGCAAUGCCGCGUGUGUGAAGAAGGCCUUCGGGUUGUAAAGCACUUUUGUCCGGAAAGAAAUCCUUGGCUCUAAUACAGUCGGGGGAUGACGGUACCGGAAGAAUAAGCACCGGCUAACUACGUGCCAGCAGCCGCGGUAAUACGUAGGGUGCAAGCGUUAAUCGGAAUUACUGGGCGUAAAGCGUGCGCAGGCGGUUUGCUAAGACCGAUGUGAAAUCCCCGGGCUCAACCUGGGAACUGCAUUGGUGACUGGCAGGCUAGAGUAUGGCAGAGGGGGGUAGAAUUCCACGUGUAGCAGUGAAAUGCGUAGAGAUGUGGAGGAAUACCGAUGGCG